Long non-coding RNA from Saccostrea cuccullata (small rock oyster), 277 nucleotides. RefSeq lists it as uncharacterized. NCBI's taxonomy places the organism in Eukaryota, Metazoa, Mollusca, Bivalvia, Ostreida, Ostreidae. The record is from RefSeq and is a predicted model, not a curated record. The transcript is spliced from 3 exons.
CAGAGUUGCACUGAGACUGAAAAGUUUGUAUACCAUUGUGUUUUGAACAAGGAUGGAACAAAAUAUUUAGAGGUCUGUGCUCAAUCCUGGUUUAUGUCAGGGUUUUGUGCAAGAUUCAGUGUAGCAGAAGGGAGAAUAAUUAAUGACCCAGGGUUGGACUGUACAAAAUUCUCCACACCGUGUCCUUCAAGAUUUCUGUCAAAUGAAUCCUUUAAAUAUCAAGGAUGCUAUGAUUAUCUUCAACAGUCUACACCAUCAAAAAUCAUUGAGAAGAAAA